This is a long non-coding RNA of Chiloscyllium plagiosum (whitespotted bambooshark), 808 nucleotides long. RefSeq lists it as uncharacterized. Lineage: Eukaryota; Metazoa; Chordata; Chondrichthyes; Orectolobiformes; Hemiscylliidae. The record is from RefSeq and is a predicted model, not a curated record.
CAAUUGAAUGAGCAGAAGAAUCGCUUCUUUCGACAAGAAAUUUAUUCAUUUCUUCAUAGAAUCUUUUCAAAGAUUAAUUUCAAGGCAUAAUUUUUAAAAAGCCAAAAAUAUUAACUUUAUAACUUGGAAAUUUGUCCAGUCAGACAAGCCACUUCCACAGCUGUUUCAACUGUAUGCCUCUUUACUGCACUUGUCCAGCUUCUUCUCAACAUUGAUCCUUAAUCAUCGUGCUUGCUCAUACUGAAUGUUUGGUUCUGCACAUGUACAAGCAGGCUGCAUGAUGAGCUGAUUUCCCUUCUCCUGUCCAUGUGUGCAAUCAAAUCGCCACAGGCGCUAUCUCAGAAGGCUACAGAAAGGGGCACACUUCUCAUCUUGUUUGGCCCACCGCAUACUGGUUGAAAACUUCUGAUGUAGAAGAAUAAGGGACAGGAAAUGCCACUUGUCCCUUCCCUAAUUGUGUCAUCUGCAGAGAGAAGUUGGCAAACGCUGCACUGGUCCAAACAAUGGAAAACUUUAGGAAGAAUGCAAGAGACCUUGAAAGGUGCAAGGGAGAUUCACCAGAAUUCUUCCAGAAAUGGGGGAUAUUAGCUGCAAGUUUUGACAGGAACAAAUGAACACUUCAAGUGAAAUAUUUAUACCUAUUUCAUCAUGAGGAAGAGCAUACCAAAAGAAAACCCAGCACAUGAUGUUUGGUACUGCUUUGUUUCCUCUUGCAUCACCUGUGUAAGUUGCAUCAUUUAUUUUUAAUUGCUGUCUGAUAGUAUAAACCUUGAGUAUUGCUGAAGAAACAAAACAUUUCGUCAAAGCU